Molecule: non-coding RNA, 368 nt
Organism: Dermacentor albipictus
Lineage: Eukaryota; Metazoa; Arthropoda; Arachnida; Ixodida; Ixodidae
Source: RefSeq, a predicted model, not a curated record
CUCGCGUCGCUACGAAAACACGACAGUCGUUCGUCAUGCCUUGGAUAUAACAGCAAAUCCUCCACGGCACCCGCUUUAUAUAACUCAAGAAGGCAGCUGCAAGGACACGAGGAUGUGAAAGAGCCAGUGCAGCGCGACUUCACGUAGUGCAGAGGAGCCAAUGCCAAAAAAUCAAAAUACAUUGCCAUGCAAUUUGGACAAGAAAACUAGGACAACCCAGGACGUGCAUUUCUCAGCACCCAGUCAACUGCCAGAAGUGACUCGAACACAGGCCACCAGUGGCACUCGGCUGUACCACUGCAGUGCUGCGGAAAUUGCCAGCACCAGCGGCUUUGCAACAGCAGUUUCACAGCAUGUCGGUAUGUGCU